GUAGUAAGUAUAAAGAAAAAUAAGGAAAAUAAGAAUGUAUUCAAAAGAAAAAUACUAAAUCAUAAAUUGCUGGGAGGAACAAAUUUUCAUAUACGCAGACCAUACAAAUUUUUUAGUUUCUUUUAUUCGACACAGCCUAAGUUUGUUUGGCUAAAAGAAGUAUUUUCCUUAAUUUUAAGAGAUCAGAAAGUUAACAGUAAUUAAGAAAGAAGUAUAUAAUUAAUAUAUUUAAAUAUGGAAUGUAUUUGCCCAGUUUCCUAAUUAUGGUGAAACAGCAACACAUUGAUUAUGAAAACUUAAGACAAAUUCAUUUCAUUAAAAAAUCCCAAUUGAAUCAUCUCCUUUCUGUAGGACAACUUUCCAGUCACCAAUUUUGUAAAUGAAUUAUGACAACUGCUCAAUUUUAUUAACAAAUACAAUAAGAAAUAUAAUUAACAUUUGCUCAAUGCUUACUCAUCAGACAGGUGGAGUGCUUAAUAUAUAUUUAGAGACCACUUUUUUGAAAUAACACUCAUAUCAGGUUAAAAUCAUUAUUCAUUUUAUAUCAUAGGUUUUCUAUGAAGUUUGGAGAAAUCCAUGCAAAAUACUUGAGUAACCUAAAAUAUGACAUAAGCAAAUCACGGAGUAGUGUAUCACAAUGUUCCUUACUGCAGCUACCAUGAAUUAUUACUAUUAUUAUUAUUAUCAUUAUUAUUUUAGCUUUUUAGGGCUACACCUGCCGCAUAUGCAAGUUCCCAAGCUAGGAGUCAAACUGGAGCUGUAGCUGCUGGCCACAGCCACAGCCAAAGCAAUGCCAGAUCUGAGCCACGUCUGCGACCUACACCACAGCUCACCAGAACACCAGAUCCUUAACCCACUGUGCAAGGCCAGGGAUUGAACCUGCACCCUCAUGGAUACUAGCUGGAUUCGUUAUCACUGCACCACAACAGGAACUCCAACCAUGACUUAAUUCUUAAUGCCACAGCAAUUCCCAAUUUAAAGACUACGUACAAACACCACGAAGUUAAACCUAAAAAAUGUGGGAUAAACCCCCACUAUUCUAUUGCCUGGGUUUAGGUUCUAGGGCAUCUCAGUUUUCUGAGGUCUAAGGAGGUUGAUAAGGCCCGAUAUUGCUCUGGUUACCGCAAUUAUCUUUUUUUGCCUGGAAAUUUUUGAACUGAAUCUCACUCAAUUUCCAGGACAAACUCAAAAGAGGUAAUUCUUAAGGAACAUUGGCAAUAGCACACAAUAAGUAUAUUAUAUAUCAUAUAUAUCAUAUGCUAUAUAUACACAUAUAAUCUGUAAUAUCAUUACCAAAACACUAUGGAUUUGGCUAAAAUUGUGAAGAAUUCAGUGGAGGAAUUGAGAAAGAUCGUCAAUGGUACCCAUUAAUCCACAUUCCAAUGCACUAUUCACUGCACUCAUGGAUUACAAGUUUGAACUGAAUAUAAAUAAAAAUAUAUAUUUCUUUUGGUAUGAAUAACCAUGGGGUUUUCUGAAAAGUAAACGAAAACAUAAUCAUAAGCCAUGAAUGUUCUAAAUUUUUACAUAAAAUAUAAACCAACUCCUAUACCGCUGGCAUUGCAAUAUAAAAUGUACUGUUAUCUUUCAACAAUAUUUCUCAUAAAAUAACCCUGGAAGAUAUCCUCCAGGUAUUUCACUGGUUAAAAAUGGGAUGUGAUGGGGAAGCAAUGUUUAUGGGAGAUUAUUGAAUACGUCGUUAUAAAUCAUUUAUUUAUUUUAGCAAUCAUGUAAAAAUGACUGGAUCCCAACAAAUAAAUAAGAUUUUUCUUCUCAUUUUGGGGGACUUCAGCAAAUCUAUAAUCUUCUACAAAUCCUGAGAUUUCAGGAUUGUAAAAGGUGAUAACAGAACCUGCUGUUAAUGUUAGUAAAGAAUACAGAAGUAGUCGUAGUAUUAGUAAAAGCAGGAGGAGCAGCAGCAGCAAUAGGUAACAGAAGCAAUAACAGUAGUAGUAACUUAAGUAUCAGCGAAUGAUGCACCUGGGGCUCCCAGGCUAGUACCUGUGGCCCUGGUGCCACAAAUUCUGCAGAAAAUCUGCCUACUGGUUAAAUUCAACCUCAAUUGCAAGCUGUCUUUUUUCUUUUUUUCUUUUUUUUUUUUUUUCCAUAAAAAAGAAACCCAGGGCAGCCUUGGAUGAACAGAAAGUAAAAUCCUCCAGAACUUGGUAGGAAGUGGUUCUCAACAUUCCAAUGAAUCCUUGUGAAACGAAGUUAGUAACUUGCUUGAAUAUCACCAAAAAGGACCAUAAAGACCACAAAGACUUUGGAAACAAGAUUUUUUUUUGAAACAAAAAAUACACAUUCAUCUGCUAGAAAUACACUCUGCUGUGCAGACUGUCACAAAGCAAGCAGCAUAAUUUUCUUGAGUUGAAAAUGGCUGGGUUGCAUAACUGAUCAUGUUCUCAUAUCAGAGGAUAAGUGCACGAAAAUUUUUUAAAGAUAUCUAUGUUCCACAAAUUCCUAACUUUGUAUCUUAUAAUCAAAACUCAAUGUACUUUAUUAAAGAAAACUUAAGAAAAUGAAGUUACUAAUUUACCAAUGAAGAUAAACAGUUUUGACUGUUCAAGAAAUAGAUAAAAUGAGUAAGGCGCAUAAUUUAUCUUCCCCUUUCCUAAACAGAACAUCAACAGUUACAGCAAUUUUUAAAUAAAAGUAAAUCUUAACCAAUCACUUCUUGGACAGCCAUAAAAAAUGCACUUCACUUCAGGAAUUCCCAUCAUGGCUCAGUGGUUAAUGAACCCAACUAGUAUCCAUAGGACACAGGUUCCAUCCCUGGCCUCGCUCAGUGGGUUAAGGAUCCGGCGUUGCCACAAGAUAUGGUGUAGGUCGCAGACGUGGCUCGGAUCCCACAUUGCUGUGGCUGUGGUGUAGGCUGGCAGCUCUAGCUCCAAUUCAACCCCUAGCCUGGGAACCUCCAUAUGCCUCCAUACUCUGCCUGUGUUUUCACAGAAGCCUCCAACCCCCUCUUGAUACAGAAAACAUCAAGAUUCUACAUUCAACCCACGUCUUGAGGGUUAACUGAGCUAAAAUAUGUGAAGUGUAACCCACAAAAUGUCACAGACGCAGUGACAGUCACUCACAUACAGCUUCCCUACCCAACAUAAUACAUCCAUUCCUGGCGAUGAGUUUGGAGACUCUUUACCUAUCUCCUGGGUAUCAAUUAACCACACAAUUUACCUGCCAUUUAGGAUGAGAAGGUCUCUAGCGUCUCAGAGUGAGGCGUUUACCAAGGCUACAAUACAGCAGCAACAACACUCCACAAUAACGACCAAAAGCCGAGAUCCUUGAAGUGAACAUCUUGGUUCUCAAGUUCAACUGUGGACAAAUGGGUGAGGCCUUGGUCCAAACGUUAAGCAUGCUCUCUGAUUCACUCUGUCAAGACAGGAUGUGGAGUUUGCUUUUAAUUGUGUGAAGCUUCAUACACGUUUCUCACCCAACACACCAAAAACUGAUGAAAAUUAACCAAAAAUCAUGACCACCGUUAAGUUGCUUUAAUAAGUUAGGUGGACAAAUAAGAUAUACAAAAAUGAACAGCUUCCCUUAGUACCCACAAUAAUUGUUUUUAAGACGUAUUUAGGCGCUACUGAUUUUGAUAAUGAGGAAAAGGUAAUUCAGAUUAACAUUCCCGCAUUGGAUAACUAAAUAAGCAAAAUAUAUUUACAGCUCCUCUUGAACGUCUCAAUAACCUAUCGAGUUAGCAAAAGCCUGGCAAAAUCUAGGACACAAGAACUUCGAGAGGUAUUAUGCCCAGGACUCAAAGGAACUUUGCACAGAUGGGUUUGGCUUCCACUAAUGACCAACUGCAAGUCUAUUUUCCAUACAAUUCCCAGUUAUGCUUUUAAAACAUGAGUCAGAACAUGAUAGUCCUCUGCUCAAAACCCUUCAUCAACUUUUCCUUAAAAGAAGCAAAACCGACUCACAGACAUUGAAAAACUUACGGUCUCCGGAGGAGACAGUUUGGGGGGUGGGGGGAUGUGCCUGGGCUGUGGGAUGGAAAUCCUGUGAAAUCAGAUUGUUAUGAUCAUUAAACAACUACAGACGUGAUAAAUUCAUUUGAGUAAUUAAUUAAAUAAAUAAAUAAAUAAAAGAAGCCAAACCCUGGCCUUAGAAGAAGCCUUUCUGUGAUCUGCCCUGCCUCCUUACACUCCCCCACCCCCGCUGCCUUCCUUGAAGUCUCUGCUAAAUGCCACCCCCCACUACGUGGCCCUUCCCUGACCCUUUCCCCAUCUCUUUCUAGACUCCGACACUGCUUUUUUCUUCUGAAUACUUACUUUUUGGGUUGCUUACUGUCUGUCUCUUGGGACUAGGAUAAAAGCAACAUCAGCUGCUUUCUUCACUUCCGUGUCUGUUAAUAUCUAAAACAGGGCCUGGCAGACAGUAGGUUCUUGAAAAUACUUGCUGAUUUAGCCAACAAAAGGUAACAAGGUCCUACCAUUACAAGGGUUAAAUGACAGCUCAUAGGAGAUGCAAUAAUUCCAAUGAUUUUAGGUAAAUUGGACUUUUACAGAUUACUAAUAUAGUUAAAUACUCAUUUUACACCAUACACCAGAAUUCAUUCAAGAUGAAUUCAAAGUUAAGUUUCAAAAUAUACCUGCAUCAACUCACUGAUUAAAAGGCAUGUGAAGGAUGUAUUAUUAGCAAGAUAAUGUUAUUACAGAACAAUGUAUGUAGCAUAAUCCCAUCUAUGUAAGAAAAAUCGACAAGAAACAUAUACAGAAAUAUAACUAGAUAUAGAGAGAGAGAUACGCAUGGACAUCUGUGGGAAACAAUGCAUUUGCUUUAGCUUGGAAAAAUCUGUGGACAUGUUCCUGAGAGUUUACCCUAAGUAUCAGAAUUCAGGAGCAGGAAUAGGAGAGAGAGAAAGUUAAGGUUUUUUUCCUAAUGUGUUUUGCAUCUUACACUUGAUAACAAAUACAAAUUUAUAAUUGGCAGAAAAAUCAAGAAAAAGUUGACCGCAAACCAGUGCAACUCAUUGUAUUACCUUCAACUCAGUGCUUAUCCUCUCUCCAAGCCUCCAGAGUCUCCAUUUCUAAAAAAGGAGAUGUUAAGGCAUACUCUAAUUAGCAAUUAACAUUUACAGAACACUUAUGUAGAUGUCAGCCUGAGUGCUGAGUGCUUUAUAUGGAUUAUUUUAUUAAAUCCUUAACCCCCCCCAACAAACACUGUCAUAUAUAAAAUUACAGUCCUCUUGACACAGAUUUGAAAUGAGAAACAGAACAGAUAUAAUAUGUGAAAAUAACUUUGUCAACUCCAAGACAACGCACAAACUUUUGGACUAAUCAUCACAACAUUUGACUUUUUAUGUAACAGUAAACAUCUAUAUGUGAUAUAGCUCUUUCCUAGUUAUAGCCUCUAUUCCUUUCUGGCAGGAAAUAAGUUUUAUACUUAUUGAAUUCAACACCAAAUGUUAAAUUGCUAUUCUUUUUGCCUAAUACAUGUAAUUUACAUGUAUUUGUACCUUAUAUAUGUAAAUUACAUAUAAUUUUAUAUAUACAUAUAUAAAGUCAUCCAUGAAAGGAAAAAAAAUCAAAUGCACAGGAAUAAUCACAUCAAGAAUUGUUCUAGGAGUUCCCAUCAUGGCUCAGUGGUUAACGAAUCCGACUAGGAACUAUGAAGUUGCGGGUUCGGUCCCUGGCCUUGCUCAGUGGGUUAAGGAUCUGGCGUUGCCAUGAGCUGCGGUAUAGAUCACAGAUGUGGCUCGGAUCCCACGUUGCUGUGGCUCUGGUGUAGGCUGGUGGCUACAGCUCCGAUUGGACCCCUAGCCUGGGAACCUCCAUAUGCUGCAGGUGCGGCCCUAGAAAAGGCAAAAAAAAAAAAAA
This 5819-nucleotide long non-coding RNA is filed under the name Sus scrofa (pig). Its description in RNAcentral is "lncRNA (ENSSSCG00030005149.1, ENSSSCG00040016615.1)". Lineage: Eukaryota; Metazoa; Chordata; Mammalia; Artiodactyla; Suidae. The record is from RNAcentral.